GCUCCCUUCGUCUAGCGGUUAGGACGUCGCCCUCUCACGGCGAAAACAGCGGUUCGAUUCCGCUAGGGAGCACCA
This 75-nucleotide transfer RNA is filed under the name Tardiphaga sp. RNAcentral describes it as "tRNA-Glu". It matches the Rfam family "tRNA". Rfam says of the family: Transfer RNA (tRNA) molecules are approximately 80 nucleotides in length. Their secondary structure includes four short double-helical elements and three loops (D, anti-codon, and T loops). The record is from RNAcentral. Lineage: Bacteria; Pseudomonadati; Pseudomonadota; Alphaproteobacteria; Hyphomicrobiales; Nitrobacteraceae. RNAcentral also lists the same sequence under 5 other names.